RNAcentral lists this long non-coding RNA (3018 nucleotides) under Aedes aegypti (yellow fever mosquito). RNAcentral's name for it is "lncRNA AAEL027181". The stretch from base 2988 to 3018 matches the Rfam family "Histone 3' UTR stem-loop", at positions 1 to 31 of the family's 46-position model. Lineage: Eukaryota; Metazoa; Arthropoda; Insecta; Diptera; Culicidae. The record is from RNAcentral.
ACGCAACAUUAGUGCGGAAAGUAAACGCUACUGUGCGUACUUCUCGUACCACCGGCCUGUACUGUCAGUACUUGCGUUGCCUAGUGAACCUCAAGAGUCCACACAACACGAGUAAUUCAACGAUCAUGAGAUCUGGACAUCGCUGCUGAUAGAGGAUACCGGCAUUUCUCGUCCUUGGCCUGACAAUCCAGCGGUAGUCAGUGUUGUUCUCUCAUCAUUUUUCCUGCAGUCGGGGCAACUCUACCGAUUUGAGUUUGGGUCUCGGCCUUGCUCCGGUAGAGCUCUGCUUUGUUCUUGCCAACAACCAACAAUGCUUUCGUUCAAACUGCUUCCAUCCAAGUGUUGGGAUAGUUUUCCUGGGAGAUAUCUGCAUUGCUCCGAUAUCAACGCUGGCAGCCCGGCGCGUAGAUCGUAGCUUCAUCAUUCUUCCUGCAGUCGGGGCAUCUCUGCCGUUUGAGUAUGGGUCUCGGCCUUACUCCGGUAGAGCUCUGCCUUGUUCUUGCCAACAACCAACAAUGCUUCCAUCCAAGUGCUGGGAUAGUUUGCCACCCGAUAUCUCGGACUGCGAUUCUUGGCUCAUCUGUGAGCGCCCACAUCCACAAAGGAUUCCACACAUCGUUGGAACUUUUCUUCCUCUGUGAGAAUUCUGCUUUGCUCCGAUAUCAACGCUGGCAGCCCGGCGCGUAGAUCGUAGCUUCAUCAUUUUUCCUGCAGUCGGGGCAUCUCUGCCGUUUGAGUAUGGGUCUCGGCUUUACUCCGGUAGAGCUCUGCCUUGUUCUUGCCAACAACCAACAAUGCUUCCAUCCAAGUGCUGGGAUAGUUUGCCACCCGAUAUCUCGGACUGUGAUUCUUGGCUCAUCUGUGAGCGCCUACAUCCACAAAGGAUUCCAACACCGUUGAAACUGUUUCUUCCUCUGGGAGAAUUCUGCUUUGCUCCGAUAUCAACGCUGGCAGCCCGGCACGUAGAUCGGACUCAAUCGUUAGUCAGCGAUUGUUGGAUACGUUCUCUCAUCAUCGAAAGCUCCAUCAUUUUUCCUGCAGUCGGGGCAUCUCUGCCGUUUGAGUAUGGGUCUCGGCCUUACUCCGGUAGAGCUCUGCCUUGUUCUUGCCAACAACCAACAAUGCUUCCGUCCAAGUGCUGGGAUAGUUUGCCACCCGAUAUCUCGGACUGUGAUUCUUGGCUCAUCUGUGAGCGCCUACAUCCACAAAGGAUUCCACACACCGUUGAAACUGUUUCUUCCUCUGGGAGAAUUCUGCUUUGCUCCGAUAUCAACGCUGGCAGCCCGGCACGUAGAUCGGACUCAAUCGUUAGUCAGCGAUUGUUGGAUACGUUCUCUCAUCAUCGAAAGCUCCAUCAUUUUUCCUGCAGUCGGGGCAUCUCUGCCGUUUGAGUAUGGGUCUCGGCCUUACUCCGGUAGAGCUCUGCCUUGUUCUUGCCAACAACCAACAAUGCUUCCAUCCAAGUGCUGGGAUAGUUUGCCACCCGAUAUCUCGGACUGCGAUUCUUGGCUCAUCUGUGAGCGCCUACAUCCACAAAGGAUUCCACACACCGUUGAAACUGUUUCUUCCUCUGGGAGAAUUCUGCUUUGCUCCGAUAUCAACGCUGGCAGCCCGGCACGUAGAUCGGACUCAAUCGUUAGUCAGCGAUUGUUGGAUACGUUCUCUCAUCAUCGAAAGCUCCAUCAUUUUUCCUGCAGUCGGGGCAUCUCUGCCGUUUGAGUAUGGGUCUCGGCCUUACUCCGGUAGAGCUCUGCCUUGUUCUUGCCAACAACCAACAAUGCUUCCAUCCAAGUGCUGGGAUAGUUUGCCACCCGAUAUCUCGGACUGUGAUUCUUGGCUCAUCUGUGAGCGCCUACAUCCACAAAGGAUUCCACACACCGUUGAAACUGUUUCUUCCUCUGGGAGAAUUCUGCUUUGCUCCGAUAUCAACGCUGGCAGCCCGGCACGUAGAUCGGACUCAAUCGUUAGUCAGCGAUUGUUGGAUACGUUCUCUCAUCAUCGAAAGCUCCAUCAUUUUUCCUGCAGUCGGGGCAUCUCUGCCGUUUGAGUAUGGGUCUCGGCCUUACUCCGGUAGAGCUCUGCCUUGUUCUUGCCAACAACCAACAAUGCUUCCAUCCAAGUGCUGGGAUAGUUUGCCACCCGAUAUCUCGGACUGCGAUUCUUGGCUCAUCUGUGAGCGCCUACAUCCACAAAGGAUUCCACACACCGUUGAAACUGUUUCUUCCUCUGGGAGAAUUCUGCUUUGCUCCGAUAUCAACGCUGGCAGCCCGGCACGUAGAUCGGACUCAAUCGUUAGUCAGCGAUUGUUGGAUACGUUCUCUCAUCAUCGAAAGCUCCAUCAUUUUUCCUGCAGUCGGGGCAUCUCUGCCGUUUGAGUAUGGGUCUCGACUUUACUCCGGUAGAGCUCUGCCUUGUUCUUGCCAACAACCAACAAUGCUUCCAUCCAAGUGCUGGGAUAGUUUGCCGAACGUUUUCUCGGACUGUGAUUCAUGGCUCAUCUGUGAGCGCCUACAUUGACAAGGGAUUGCACACACCGUUGAAACUGUUUCUUCCUCUGGGAGAAUUCUGCUUCGCAGCGGUUUAAAAAUGGAACAACAUCAACAACUUACUUUACACGACGAAUUCUUAUAAUUAAGUCCGAUUUCAACGCAACCAUUUUAGCGCACGCACAAUAUGGUGCCAAUCUCAAUCAUUAUCCUCCGCCUGCUUCUGUUAAAACCUUGCAGUCAUGAUCACCAUCAUCACCACAAAAAUUUAGUUUGAGGUUUGGUAGAUAUGAUUCGAUCGAAAUAUUGAAAAAUAUCUUACACUUCGUUUUGUUCUUCUCUUUCAGAUACAACAUUCGGGCAUUGUUCAAUCUAUGGUAUCCAUCAAACAAAUCUCUAAGAUGCUGGACAUUACUUCGUCUGAAUAUAAACAGCUUCGUUUGAAAAUGAUACCUAAUUGUAAUCAGCGAUCUUCAUCAAGCCAUCAACACCACAACAAGAAAAUCGGCCCUUUUCAGGGCCACCAAGUGUU